RNAcentral lists this ribosomal RNA (207 nucleotides) under uncultured bacterium. RNAcentral describes it as "partial 16S ribosomal RNA". It matches the Rfam family "Bacterial small subunit ribosomal RNA", at positions 568 to 774 of the family's 1533-position model. The record is from RNAcentral.
CUCGUAGGCGGUUAGUCACGUCGGAUGUGAAAACCCAGUGCUUAACACUGGGCCUGCAUUCGAUACGGGCUGACUAGAGUGUUGUAGGGGAGACUGGAACUCCUGGUGUAGCGGUGAAAUGCGCAGAUAUCAGGAGGAACACCGGUGGCGAAGGCGGGUCUCUGGGCAACUACUGACGCUGAGGAGCGAAAGCGUGGGGAGCAAACA